GUCGAGCGGGAACCUCAGGAGGGGUAACCCUUCUGAGGGGAGAGCGGCGAACGGGUGAGUAACACGUGGGCAACCUGCCCCGGACACCGGGAUAACCCAGGGAAACCUGAGCUAAUACCGGAUACUCCGGCGCGAUCGCAUGGUCGUGCCGGGAAAGCUCCGACGGUCCGGGAUGGGCCCGCGGCCUAUCAGCUUGUUGGUGGGGUAACGGCCCACCAAGGCGACGACGGGUAGCUGGUCUGAGAGGACGGCCAGCCACACUGGGACUGAGACACGGCCCAGACUCCUACGGGAGGCAGCAGUGGGGGAUCUUGCGCUAAUGCGCGAAAGCGUGACGCAGCGACGCCGCGUGGGGGAUGAAGGCCUUCGGGUUGUAAACCCCUUUCGGCAGGGACGAAGGGAAACUGACGGUACCUGCAGAAGAAGUCCCGGCUAACUACGUGCCAGCAGCCGCGGUAACACGUAGGGGACGAGCGUUGUCCGGAUUCAUUGGGCGUAAAGCGCGCGUAGGCGGCUCGGAAAGUCGGUCGUGAAAUGCCGGGGCUCAACCCCGGGACUGCGUCCGAUACUUCCGGGCUGGAGGUAGGUAGGGGAGAUCGGAAUUCCUGGUGUAGCGGUGAAAUGCGCAGAUAUCAGGAGGAACACCGGUGGCGAAGGCGGAUCUCUGGGCCUUACCUGACGCUGAGGCGCGAAAGCUAGGGGAGCGAACAGGAUUAGAUACCCUGGUAGUCCUAGCCGUAAACGUUGGGUGCUAGGUGUGGGCGGACAUCGACCCCGUCCGUGCC
This 785-nucleotide ribosomal RNA is filed under the name uncultured Actinomycetes bacterium. RNAcentral describes it as "bacterial SSU rRNA". It matches the Rfam family "Bacterial small subunit ribosomal RNA", at positions 61 to 847 of the family's 1533-position model. The record is from RNAcentral. Lineage: Bacteria; Bacillati; Actinomycetota; Actinomycetes.